This 156-nucleotide small RNA is filed under the name Bradyrhizobium erythrophlei. RNAcentral's name for it is "caulobacter sRNA CC2171". The record is from RNAcentral. Lineage: Bacteria; Pseudomonadati; Pseudomonadota; Alphaproteobacteria; Hyphomicrobiales; Nitrobacteraceae.
CAACAACGAAAGGAGGUGAUCCAGUGUCUUAUACCAAGCGCUGUCACCUCGCUGGGAUCGCCCGCUAAGCACGUCUGCUUGGCCAAGGGCGUUUCUCAGCGCCUGGACCAGCGAGUUUCAAGAACGGGGCGCGGCGGAUCACUUCCGCCGCGUCCU